Bombus terrestris (buff-tailed bumblebee) is the source of this 2686-nucleotide long non-coding RNA. RefSeq lists it as uncharacterized. The transcript is spliced from 3 exons. Lineage: Eukaryota; Metazoa; Arthropoda; Insecta; Hymenoptera; Apidae. The record is from RefSeq and is a predicted model, not a curated record.
AAAAAAAAGUACGGCUAAGGAAAUUCCAUCCUUAGACAAUAGAGCCUUGUCUAGCACUCUUUCCAGGAAAAGCGUGCUCAGAUUGCAAAGCACCUCAGAACAAAAAAAGACCAGUAAAGUAAGUUAAAUAUAAAUGGGCAUUCCAAGCGUUUGGUGAGAUUAUUUUCAAUCAAAAAUGAAUUUUUAAUCAAUAUCCAAACGUGUUACUUUGAAUAUCAAUUGUAUAAACAACAAGAAAGAAUUAAUAUAUCCUUUUAAACUUUGCACACCGCACAGAAAUACAGAACACAUUUACUCUCAAUAUAUUCUAAUAGAGUUUCAUUCGCUUGAAAAGAAACAAAAGAUUUUGUCCACAUUUCUUAAACAUGAUCGAAAUUGAUUGCAAUAUAUUUACGUCUGCAGUUUGCUAUUGAAGCAGACGAUUGUCAGACAUGUACUUACAUACGUUUAAGGCGGAUUCAAUAUUCGAAAAUCAGUUAGAAGUAAAAUUUUCAAAAUUGAAAGACAGACGUGUCUUUAUAAUUUCCAACAUCACAAAAUACUGAUCUUUUAAUGCAAACAAAAUUUUAUUUAAAUAUAUCAAACCAUACAGAUUAAAGCUCAAAAGGAGCAACUCCAAUACAAAAACCGUUUCUGAAUUCCAUUUUCAGGAAAAUGAGAAAUUCGUGUAAAUUAUAUGAUAUUUCACUGAAAAAAUUCCUAUCUUCGACGUCAAAAAAUGAUAGAUUCGAUGUGGAAUGACCCUUAUUGGAAAACAGAAGCGUGUUUCUUCAUUGUUUCAGUAUAUGCAAAUGAGUCUGAGACAUACAGGAGACGCUACCAUCUGAAACUUCUAGAUGCAGUUCGAAACUGAAAAGACUGAGGUUUUACAUUUUCUUCCUGUGAUUCUUAAUUUUCUUUAUUCGAUUUAAUUUAGUCAGCUUUUCGUAACAGCCUACACCUACCUAGAAUUAUAACUAAGCAUACAGGUAAAUAAUACAUAGAUGAUAGCACUAGAUAAUGAAAAAAAAAUAAAUAAAUAGAUAAAAAUGUAUUAACGAAUUAAAUGCUUCAGAUAGAACAUUUUAAUUUUAUAAAAGGAGCGAAAUAAGACAUUUCUAUCUAGCAAUGACUUGAAAUCAUAUUAUUGAGAUAUGUAUAAUUUUAUGUGCUAGACUAGAUUGGACUUGUGUGCGAAUAUCAGUGUGAGGAAGUAUGUGUGUGCGCGGCGUCUCGAAAACAAAGGAAUGUAAACUGUCCAGUUAACAAUCUGUUAUGGGAGAAAGUGCUGAGACGCGUGCAAAUGUGUAUCGAUGAAUAUCUUUGGAAUCGUUUAUCGAAUAAAUAUAUAACUAUUCUAAUAUAAAUUCAAAGUGUAUAUUUAGUGUUCCUAUACUAUUAUUUCGGCUAUUAAGAUCCAAUAUUCUCAACACAGAUUUAACUAAUAUUUUUAAAUAUACGUACAAUUUAUACACAAAAAUUGUUAAGAAAUUAGUGGUUUCAACAUAUGUACGUGGUAUUACAAUAAAACGUCCUAUCGAUAUUUAAAGAGAGAAUUCAAGAAUGGGAUGUAUGGAAAUACCUGGAGCCCUUUCCAACGCACUCCGAAUAGCGUUAGUCACGGCCAAUGUAAGGAACCAAGAGGGUGGCAGUAGGGCAGCAGAAAAAUCGGAAACCACCGAAAUUACUACGGAAAUGGAUGAAGUUAAAAAGAUAAGAAAGUCGGAAAUUAUCCCAAGGAUACGUCUGUUAGUUUCCAAUUGAGGGUACUUUUGCAACUGUUUCGCAGAAGGCAAUGUUGGUAAUAACUGCUAGUAAUAAAUGGAUGUUCGUGAGAUUACAGAAAUUAGAUCCGAAGAAAAUCAUGUUGAGUUUCUUUUGAGGAGUCUUUAGAGGAAAGACAAGUAAUGUCUUUCACUGACAAGGAGUCUUUAGAGGAGUUGAGUCUUUAGAGGAAGGACAAGUAAUGAUGUUUUGGUUUAACAAGUAAUAUUCCAUACAGCAAACUGAUUACAAUACUGUCGUACGUCGUAUUAUCAUACUCGGCUCUCAACUUCUCGAUUCACACUCCGGCUCCUCCACUCACACUCUCCGGCUCCUCUACUCACUCUCCGGCUUCUGCACUCGCUCUCUCUGACUUCUCAACUCACACUGUCCGAUUUCCCAACUAACUAAUACCCCCUGAGCUAGCAACCCUUUGUCCUUUCUUAUCCCCACCUCGCAUGUGUUCUGCGAAGGCAAGUGGCCAGGAUACGUAGGCCUUUUCUACGAAACUAUUCGCUUGAAGGACCGACGACACAUUGAUGGACCCGACGACGCCUCGACUUCCGCGACAUUGUUAAUGGUUCGACCGAUAUCUUAGUCCCUUUGUCCACGAUACUACAUGCAUAUAAGUUUUUGUUACUAUAAUUAUAGAAUUAUAUUCUUGAUAGCAUCGAAGUAGAAUUAGUUGAAUGAUAGCAAUACUGAGCAUUGAAUAAUUCGUAGGAAUAAAUAAAUAUUAGAAUUUUAUUUAGAAAUAUAAAAUCUUUAUAUCCGGCGUUGAUUGUGAAAACAUUCGUUAAGGAUACGUUCGUUCGCCGACCAACUGUUGGGAACAUGUACACUGUACAUGUGAAUGUGUGUGUAAGCGUCAGAGGACGUCCAGGCCUUGGUUGAGACAUAAGACAAGAGCAGUCGUUAGAAGUAUCUGGAAUAGUCGGUUGAC